AUGGGGUGACUGCGUACCUUUUGUAUAAUGGGUCAGCGACUUAUAUUCUGUAGCGAGGUUAACCGUAUAGGGGAGCCGUAGGGAAACCGAGUCUUAACUGGGCGAAUGAGUUGCAGGGUAUAGACCCGAAACCCGGUGAUCUAUCCAUGGGCAGGUUGAAGGUUGGGUAACACUAACUGGAGGACCGAACCGACUAAUGUUGAAAAAUUAGCGGAUGACUUGUGGAUGGGGGUGAAAGGCCAAUCAAACCGGGAGAUAGCUGGUUCUCCCCGAAAGCUAUUUAGGUAGCGCCUCGUGAACUCAUCUUCGGGGGUAGAGCACUGUUUCGACUAGGGGGUCAUCCCGACUUACCAACUCGAUGCAAACUGCGAAUACCGAAGAAUGUUAUCACGGGAGACACACGGCGGGUGCUAACGUCCGUCGUGAAGAGGGAAACAACCCAGACCGCCAGCUAAGGUCCCAAAGUCAUGGUUAAGUGGGAAACGAAGUGGGAAGGCUCAGACAGCCAGGAUGUUGGCUUAGAAGCAGCCAUCAUUUAAAGAAAGCGUAAUAGCUCACUGGUCGAGUCGGCCCGCGCGGAAGAUGUAACGGGGCUAAACCAUGCACCGAAGCUGCGGCAGCGACAC
RNAcentral lists this ribosomal RNA (626 nucleotides) under Proteus mirabilis. Its description in RNAcentral is "partial 23S ribosomal RNA". It matches the Rfam family "Bacterial large subunit ribosomal RNA", at positions 588 to 1214 of the family's 2925-position model. The record is from RNAcentral. Lineage: Bacteria; Pseudomonadati; Pseudomonadota; Gammaproteobacteria; Enterobacterales; Morganellaceae.